CAAAAGAAGGACGACCACCCCCCGAGACCCCCUCGGCACGUACCCAGCCUCCCGCGGUCGCAUCGCCGCCACCGGGGACGGCCCGGGAGCCGCUGGGGGCGGCGGGGGAGGCAGCAGCGACCCCGCACCCCUUCCCGUUUCCCCCCCACCCCCGGCCCUGCCCGGCACGGCACGGCACACUCACCGCAGCGUUUCUCUCCUGGCUGGCGCUGGGGCACGGCAGAAAGUUUGGAGCUUCUGCUUUUCCAGAUCAAUUGAAAGCCUCCUUCAUGCUAGGAGCUCCAGUGAAAUUCUGCGACUGUUCCCUGAAGUCAGAUCUAAUCUCCUUGUCCAGCACACCCAACGGGCAUAGGCUUCCUUCAGCAAGAUGCUCUUCCUGCAAUGCCGCUUCCACACGUUGGAGCUGGGAAGGUUCGGCAGCUCUUCAGUGUCACCUCACUGCCCUGUGAGUUACAGAAGGAUCAUCUCAGCGUCCUGGAGAAUGCAAUGCUAAUGGAAACUAAAGGAGACAUACAGUGAGAUAAAUGCUGAUAGCAGAGGUUCUCUGGAUUUACAAAGACCUGUCCCAGACGUGCUCCUAACCCCCUCCCAAGAAAUGUUUAUAAAUGUGUACCUUUGGAAUGGGCUCAGACUCACAUUUACAGCUACCAGCAGUGAGAUAGGUCUGUGACAGUAGGGACAACAAAUUAGAGUCCUUGAACACUGCUUUCAGAGGACCACUGCAUCCUGCUACGAGAGGUUAAGCUACUGUAAGGAGCAUCAUUUCAGGGCCUCACAAUGCAUUUUUAUAAAUGUAGGUACACUUAUAUAUGCACUUCAUGCAGAGAACAAAACAUUUCUCUUUUACAGGAAAACUCAAACUUUGUG
This is a long non-coding RNA of Oxyura jamaicensis (ruddy duck), 867 nucleotides long. RefSeq lists it as uncharacterized. Lineage: Eukaryota; Metazoa; Chordata; Aves; Anseriformes; Anatidae. The transcript has 4 exons. The record is from RefSeq and is a predicted model, not a curated record.